GUUUCUAGCAAUCAACAUCGGCUUGAUUCUUCGUUUUUACUCGAUACUUCUUACGAGAAUCAAGUAGAUGAUUGAUUAAAGGUGAACCCUCAUAGCUUAUGGUUUUCAAAAGUUAAAUCACCGCAAAUCUUCAAUUCUACAAGCUCCGGAAGGAGGUUCGGCGCGUGGAUCUCGCGCGAAGCCGAGGAUUCGGUGGACGCUUCGAGGAGUUGAGGCGUUGACGCUGCGAGGAGUUGCAGCAAGGUCGAUUGGUGGAUUCCUAUCGAUCGAGGACCGGCAAAGAUCACCGUCAACGAGAAAUCGGUAAAUUGAGUCGUGUGUUUUUGGUCGAAAUCACUUGUACUCAAGUUUUCUUAGUGGAUUUUCUUUGCGUGAUCGGUCCCGUGGGUUUUUCACUCCGAAUUGGAGUUUUCCCACGUUAAAUUCUCGGUGUGCUAUUUUAAUUUCCGCUAUUGUGUUUGUUUGCAUCGAGAUUUUUCGAGUUUGCCGGAUUUACACCUAUUCACCCCCCUCUAGGUGUUACUUACCUUUUAGAUCCUCGGGAUCCAUAACUUACAAGUGGUAUCAGAGCGGGUAUAGGUUGUAACUCAUGGCUGAGGGCGGUAACAUCAAUCGACCCCCUCUCUUCGAUGGAACUAACUAUGCUUAUUGGAAAGUCCGUAUGAGGGCGUUUCUUAUUGCUAUCGACGAGAGGGUUUGGCAAGCCGUUGAAUUCGGAUGGAAACAUCCUACUGAAGUGGUCGAGAAUGUUACCGGUCCGAAACCUAGAACUAAGUGGACAAAAGACGAAAACGAACUAUCUUCGUUCAAUGGGAAGGGUAUCAAUGCUUUGUUCAAUGCGUUGAAUCAAACUGAAUUUUCACGAGUAUCAGCAUGUGAAACCGCCAAAGAAAUUUGGGACACUUUACAAAUUACUCACGAGGGUACAAGCUUGGUAAAGGUUCAGAAAUUACAAAUGUUGACUAGUCGUUUUGAUGCUAUUCGUAUGGAAGAAAAUGAAACCUUUACCGAGUAUUACACUCGUCUUCAAGAUAUUGUCAAUACUUGUGCAAAUUUGGGUGAAAAAAUUUCUGAACCAAAAAUCGUUCGAAAAAUUUUGAGAACUCUUCCCGAACGUUUUCGUCCCAAGGUUGCGGCCAUUGAAACGGUAAAACAUCCGGAUGAACUCAAAGUAGAUGAACUAGUUGGUGCUCUUCAAACGUAUGAAAUGACUUUUCCUUCUAAUUCGUCUUCUUCCAAGUCUUUUUCUAAAGCCUCAGGCAUGGCUCUAAAAUCAACAAAAGGAGAUGUCUCGUCAACCUCAUCAGAUUCAGAGUCGGAGCAAAGCUUGGAGGACUUUGAGAAACAACUCGCACUUCUAACAAAGAAGUUCCGUCGGAACUUUAGAAAGAAGUUUCCUCCCAAGUCUAGUUCAUCAAAGACAAACAAAUCUAAAGGGGGUCCGUCUUCUUCUUCCUCGUCAAAAUACAGAAAAUCUGAUAACUCUCAAAAGGACUCCACAAAAGAGAGGAAAAGCGGUGAAGGUCAAAUCCAAUGCUACAAGUGUAGGGGCUUUGGCCAUAUAGCGUCUGACUGUCCUAAUAAAAAGACGUUGAAGAAGAAAGCUAUGCAAGCUAUGACUUGGGACGACUCCUCAUCUGACGAUUCUACUUCAAGCGAAGAGGAUGUAAAUGCCACGGCACUGUUUGCACAGGAUUCAACUUUCAUGUGUCUAGCAUCUACUGACUCGAUUUCUACGACAUCUAUACAAGAGAAGUCAUCUUCGGAGAACUCAUCGGAUGAAGAAUCGGACGAAGAUGACAUGGUCGCAGCAUAUCAACAAUUAGUUGUUGAAUCAAAGAAGAUGGCUAAACACAACAAGAGACUUCGGCGUAGUCUACAUGAGUUGGAACAAGAAAAUUCAAAGUUGGUCUCUCUAACAAAGGAUUUAGAACAAGAGAGAGAUGGGUUGACCAAGGCUUACAAUUCUUUGCUUGAGAAGUGUUCGUUACUUGAAAAUGAAAAGGAGACUCAGGCGGAGAACAUCAAGCAUCUUACCAAACAAAACUCAGAAGCUAGAGAAGCAAAUAUGGAAUUCACCAAGACGAUCAUUCAACUGAAGUCGGAUUUGAACCAAUUUUCAUCUGGCUCGAGCAAACUAGAUAAGAUGCUUGGACUUGGUCAGACAAAUAAACUUGGACUUGGUUAUGAACGAACAUAUAUUGAUCAAGUUACGAAGAACGAUGAUGGAAACUCGUCUACUGCUGUACCUAAACUUUAUGGUAAGUUUGUCCCUCCUAAAAAUAAUUUGGCUAACAAAACUUGUCAUAUUUGUGGUGUUUUAGGACAUAUAAAGAAAUUCUGCUUUCAAAAGGGAAAGAGCUCGAUAGCUCUCUUGAAGAGUGACCCUAGAAUGACAUUAAAGUCAAUUGUGACUCCAAAGAAGAUAGAACAAAAGAAGAGCCAAAUUCCGACACCAAAUACUCCGAAGCCAAAGGCAAAACCAGCAUGGAAACCAAAGAAGGAGGACAUGAAGGGGAAGUCAAUUCAAAUCGUCGACAAGCCACGAUCAACAAAAGCAAGCGAACGGACACAACCCAAAACACGUAAGGUUUGGGUGCGCAAAGGUGAACUCUUCCCAUGCCUAGUCAUUCACACUUCACUUCAUGCUUACGAUAACUCAUCUUGGUAUCUGGAUAGUGGCUGUUCCCGUCACAUGACCGGAGAUAAAAAUUGGUUUACUUCUUUGACCAAAAUCUCCGGAGGACUUGUUGUUUUUGGAGACGGUCGAUCGUCAAAAAUCGUUGGAAAAGGAACAGUGACUAUCUCAGACGGCCCUACGUUGAAUGAUGUUUUUUAUGUUGAAGGGCUUAAAUCUAAUCUCGUAAGCAUAAGUCAAUUGUGUGAUGAUGGGUAUUCGGUGAACUUUUCUGAUAAAGAAUGCCAUGUGACUCGUGAUGACAAUCUAUUCUUAAAGGGCAUUAGAUCUCAGAAUAAUUGUUAUGUAGUUCCUAGUUCGGCCACUGAACAUUGUAACCUAGCGUCAUUAGAAACUGAAACUUUAUGGCAUGAACGACUAGGUCACAUCAAUUUUAAGGAGCUAUCUAAGAUAACCAAGAAGGAGGUAGUUAGAGGUGUACCUAAGAUUGACUAUAAAGAGAACACUGUGUGUGGGGGUUGCCAAUUAGGGAAACAAACUAGAUCCACACAUAAGAACUUGAACCACUUAGGGACAACUAAACCUCUAGAGUUACUUCACAUGGACUUGAUGGGACCAUCUAGGAUUCAAAGUUUGGGUGGAAAACGUUAUAUUUUGCUUAUUGUUGAUGAUUUUACUCGCUAUGUAUGGAGUGCUUUCUUACGAGAAAAAGCUGAUACUUUUAAUUCUUUUUCUGAAAUCUGUCUCCGUCUUAUGACUGAACGAAAUGAUAAAAUUGUACGCAUUCGAAGCGAUCAAGGGGGAGAAUUCAUAAAUUCUAAAUUUGUUGAUUUCUGUGUUUCAAACGGUAUAAAACAUGAAUUCUCGGCCCCCUAUACACCCCAACAAAACGGAGUGGUUGAACGUAAGAAUCGGGUUGUACAGGAGAUGGCUCGUGUUAUGCUUCAUAGUAAGAAAAUUGCUUUACAUUUUUGGGCCGAAGCAGUUAACACAGCUGUCUAUGUUAUCAAUCGGAUUUAUGUACGUCCGGGCACUUUGAAUACGCCUUAUGAACUUUGGCUUGGUAGAAAACCUAACAUUAAAUACUUUCGUGUCUUCGGGAGUAAAUGUUUUAUCCUUCGGGAUCGUGAAAAUCUUGGAAAAUUUGACUCUCGCAGUGACGAAGGCAUAUUUCUUGGUUAUUCUACUACAAGUCGUGCCUAUCGUGCGUACAAUUUACGAACUAAGACGGUGAUAGAGUCUAUCAAUAUAAAAGUAGAUGAAGCUUCUUUUGUAAGUUCUUCUGUGAAUGGUUCUUCAAAUUCUUUGAUGAAUGACGAUGAUAAUGAUUCUCCGUUUGUAAUGCCUGUGAAUGAUGAUGUUUCUAUACCUGAUAAUUCCAUUGCAUCUUCUGAAAAUAUUGCAUCAAAUGAUUCAUCUGAGCCACAAAACAUCACGGCUGAAAUCCCGAGUACAGAGACUACCCCCCUGACAGAGUCAAGAGAUCAUCCUUUGUCAAAUGUGAUUGGGGAUCCUAAUGUUGGUGUGCGAACAAGAAGUCAGUUACAAUGUGAAUUUGCAUGUUAUGUUUCUUUGAUUGAGCCAAAGAAUGUUGACGAAGCUCUUGUUGAUGAAUAUUGGAUAAAUGCCAUGCAAGAAGAACUUGGUCAAUUUGUUCGCAAUGAUGUAUGGGAAUUGGUGCCUCGUCCUGAGCAACAACACAUUAUUGGUACCAAAUGGAUCUUUAAGAAUAAGAAAAAUGAGGAUGGUACUAUCGUGCGGAACAAAGCUAGACUUGUGGCUCAGGGGUACUCUCAAAUUGAGGGAAUAGACUUUGAAGAAACCUUUGCUCCGGUUGCCCGUCUUGAAUCUAUUCGUAUCUUGUUCGCGAUUGCUUGCCAUUUUAAAAUCACGCUCUUUCAAAUGGAUGUCAAAAGUGCGUUUCUAAAUGGAUUUUUAAAAGAGGAAGUUUAUGUUGAACAACCGAAAGGUUUUAUAGACUCAAAAUUUCCAAAUCACGUUUUUCGACUGAAAAAGGCACUUUAUGGACUAAAACAAGCUCCGCGAGCAUGGUACGAACGCUUAACAAAAUAUCUUUUGGAAAAGGGCUAUAACCGAGGGGGAGCAGAUAGAACUCUUUUUGUGAAGCAUCUGAAGAAUAAUUUCAUUGUAGCACAAAUAUAUGUGGAUGACAUAGUUUUUGGGGCUACUAAAGAUAAGGAUGCCGCUGAUUUUGCAAAGUUAAUGACCAGCGAGUUUGAGAUGUCGAUGAUGGGGGAGCUUAAUUAUUUCCUUGGACUUCAAGUUAAACAAUCAAAAGAUGGAAUUCAUUUGUCUCAGACCAAGUAUGCAAAGGAACUGGUUAAGAAAUUUGGAUUGGACAAUGCAAAGGAUUUUGACACUCCAAUGGGUACAAGCAACAAAGGACUUGGGUUGAGUUUGGAAGGACAGAGCGUGGAUGAGAAACAAUACAGAAGCAUGAUUGGGAGCCUAUUGUACUUGACUGCGAGCAGGCCAGAUAUUGCUUUUAGUGUUGGAAUGUGUGCUCGCUAUCAAGCUAAUCCUAAGGAAGUCCAUCUGAAAGCGGUUAAAAGGAUCAUUCGGUACGUUAAGAGUACAACCGCGUAUGGACUUUGGUAUCCUAUGGGAACAUCUCUUGAUCUAAUCGGCUACUCAGAUGCUGACUGGGCAGGAUCUGCAGAUGAUCGGAAAAGUACUAGUGGAGCUUGUUUUUACAUUGGACACUGUCUGGUUGCUUGGCACAGUAAGAAGCAAAACUGUAUUGCUCUUUCAACUGCAGAAGCUGAAUACAUUGCGGCCGGGAGUUGCUCUACACAAUUGAUCUGGAUGAAGAGUUUACUGAGCGACUAUCGAAUCCCUUCCACCACUCUUAGUAUUCUUUGUGACAACACAAGUGCAAUUAAUAUUUCUAAAAACCCUGUUUUACAUUCACGAACAAAACAUAUUGAAUUAAGAUAUCACUUUUUAAGAGAACUGGUUGAAUCAAACAUUCUACAACUUGAAUAUAUUUCAACUGAAAGUCAACUUGCAGAUAUUUUAACAAAACCUUUGGAUCAAAAACGUUUUCUGCAUUUAAGAAAAGCGAUUGGUAUGAAUCCUUCAAUCUAGAUAUAUUCUAUUGGGCCAUAGAUCAUGUGCAUGUUGCAUCUUAUUUUUGUGAAUGGUUUCUGGUAUUUCCUGAUUGUGCUUGAGAGAUGAUUGAAUUUCUUGAUUAAUGUUGCUACUUUUGGGAGAUGAAUCGGUUCGUAACUUUAAUUAUUUCAUAUUUAAUUUUUGAUUGAUCACUGUCAAGGUUGUUCUAUAUUGUCAUAAUUGUUGAACGAUCAAAUCAUUGAGAUUCUGUUUUGCAUACUGAAUCAAAUUCAACACCUCUUGCUUCGAACUUUGAAUGUUGCUAUUGUUUAUCUGAUUAUGAGUUUUGAGAUGAAUAACUCUUUCUCUGUUUUUGAAAUUGAAAUAAUAUUUUUGACUUGAGGGUUGCACUAAUUUAGGAAGAGUCUUUCCAAUUUUGGUUAUGAAAGUUUCUGAUAUUCAAGAUGUGGAAAGAGUUACAUCCCUGCUGGAAGUGUGAAAACUACCACCAUAUGGAGGAAAGAGCUACCACCCUGGUCGUCUGGUCAGUGUGUGCAGCUACCACAUGUUGAUUAAAGUAUCUCUAUGAAACAAAAAGAAAGUACCUUUCAGAGAUAAAAAGAAAAAUGCUCAAAGAGCUAUACAUCUCAUAGGUGAUAUAAGGUGGAAUGUUAAUUAAAAAAAAAAAGAUGCUCAAAGAGCCACUCCUGUCUCGAACAUUGUGCAUAACUUAAUUUGAACAUAUUAUUUUGAUUUCAUGAUUUGAGAAUUAUUUAUAUAUUUUCUUUAACAAAUAUGAUGAUAAAACAAUACAAUAAAUUCCUAAAUCUUGCAUGAUGUGUGGAAUUUUAUUUUAUAUGUAUCUAGAAUUGUCAUUGAUUUUCGGGUCAACAAUUUUGCCAAAUUGAGUAUCCUUGAAAUUGAUUUUUUUUUCAAAAUUUAUUUAUGAAUUUUUUCUUUGAAGUUAUUGGAAUGGAAAUAAGUUAUUUUUGUUGGUUUAUCAUUGUGGAAUUUCAUAUAUUUUUCCUGGAAUUUUUGAAGCUUAUUUUAAAUUUUUUAAAAAUUCUAGGCUCUGGGACCGGUCCCAGACAGAAGAGACCGGUCCCUCCGCCCGACCCAAUAAAGGGGUUUUUGCUCGUGUGUCUUGUACACAUUUCACAAAUUUCCCUGUUUGUUCCUCUUGCACUUUUCUUGCCUCCAGAGCAUUUUUCCUCACAUUCCUCGUGGUUUAGCACCGAUUUGAGGUAUGAUUUUCGGAUUUUGUUGCAUUUGUAUCAUAUACUCCGAAAAUGUGUUUCGUUUCCGAUUUUUUGAUGCUUGUUCUAGAGAUCUUGCUGAAAGAUGCAUAUUUAUGCUUCGAUCUUGUUAUUAGAACUGUUGUUUUCAUAUUUUCUAGUAUUUCUUUGUUUUUGGAACAAGUUUUGUAGGUUUUUCAUCAUCAAAACCUAGGUUUUCAAAGUUUUCCUGAAAAGAUUUGUUUUUGCUGAUUUAGUUGCAUGAUUAGUUCAUGUUUCUCAUGAUUAUGUGGCUCCUAGGAUUAUCUAGUAUUUAUAUAUCAAUUUGCUGAAAAUUUUUUUUGGAAUUAAAAAAAAAAUUAAGUGUUCUUAUGUUUCAUAUGUAAAUAUUUUUAUGUUUAACAGGGGAUUUCUUCAAAAUGUAUUCAUUGUUACUUGUGCUUGUGGUCCUGAUGGCCGGGGGUGGUCGUGGAAGCAAACGACAGCGCUCCAAAGCUAAACGGCCGAUUGAGUAUCAACCGGAAGAUGAAGAGAGCGAAUAUGCUCCUGGCGACGACUCUGAGGAGGAUGAACCGGAUUGGGAGGCUUUUGUUCCCGAGGUAUUAGCUAAGGAUAAGGAUACUGGGAAAGGCAAGGGAAAAGGAAAAGCCGUGGAUAAAGGCAAAGGAAAGGCGACUGAGCGUUCCGGUCGUCGUAAGUCCGGGGGUGUUGAGAUUCGAGAACCGGGCUCUGAACCACCACGUCGCAGUCUACAGGAUGUUCCAUCUAAUCGACGGUCAAUGUAUUCGUCGAAACACUGCAUUGGUGAGCGAGAUGUUGGGGUGGCCAGUAUUAUUAGUUGUGUGCCGGGUUUUCAGGAUUUGUUUGAACAGGGGAAUCUUCAUCAGAUUUGUGAUUUCCCGGAGCAAACCGGUUAUUGUUUGGAGUUGAUCAGAGAAUUUUACAUGAGAGCAGGUCACCUCAGUGACUCCGACGGCGGUCCGUACGUGUUUAAGACUUCCGUACGUGGUGUUGAGUUAUCCAUCACUCCUGAGACAAUAGCUUCGGUGCUAGAGAUGGAAGCUAAGACUGACGGAGUGGAGUAUCUGCAGGCCGGGUUCGACUCACUUCGCGAUUGGAACCGUGUCGUGAACACUAUUUGUAUGCCGGGUACUGAAUCAAACGGCAUUAUGGUUAUGUCAAAAGAUUUCAAAAUGGAGUACAGGUUUCUGAACUUUGUGGUUUGCUACAACAUCAUGCCUCUCGCGAACACGAAAAUCUUGAGAUGGGAUCGGAUUCUGUACAUGUAUCUCUUGGGUAGGCCAGAUAUUGUGAGUGCGAAAAACAUUAACAUGAAUAUUCCGUUUCUGAUCUGGCGGCGGAUGGCGAAAGACAUCAAAACCUCUGGGCAAAAUGAGAGGUUACCAUUUCCUUUGAUAAUUAUGCGGAUUUUGCGACUUCGUGAGGUGGAUGUUCGGUGUACAUCAUACGAGCACAGUUUGGGUCGGAUCAAUGAAAGGACGUUUGUAAAGUCCUCGGUGCAGCUUCGUACGCCGUCUCAACGUGCUUCUUCCCCUCCUGCAGCUCCACCUCCUGCUACUGCUACUUCUUCACGUCCUUCUAUGGACAUUUCUGAGGAAGAUAUUUCCGUUUCAUCGGUGUAUCGCGAGCAGCAACGUCUAUCUGAGGAGCUUCAGAAGUUGUCUGCAGAACAAGCUGCGAUUCGUAAGGAUGUGAGCAAGAUGAAGCGCUUGUUGAAUAUGAUUUUUGACAAAUUAGGAUGUUGUCGGGCAGAUUUACCUCCAGGAGAUGAUUCUGACUAGGAGUUACCGAGCUUCUCCUUUUGUCGUUUUGGCGCUUUCUGACAAAAAGGGGGAGAUGGAUGGGAUGGUCUUAAUGAUGAUGAUGAUGCAUUAUUCUUGAUGUUUAGUUAGUUAAGAUGUUUAAUUAUGAACUAUGAUGCUUUAGGUGUCUGACUUAGUGCUUUAGGUGUUUGUGACUAUGAACUAUGAAUUAUGAACUAUGACUUGAUAGUUUGUUUGAUCUUGAUACUUGAAUCUUGAUUAUGUUUUGAGAAUGUUUUUGCAGGAAUAAUUCAAGACUUCAAGACUCCAUGUCUAAGUCAUAGAGUUUGUAUUAAGGUUGUAAAAGUGUAAAUUUUGUUUAUUGGAUUGAUCAUGCAGGAGAUUAUCGUUUGGUGAUUGCGAUGAUCUUCUUUUUAUGAUUUAUUAGUUGUAUACGAACUUUGUAGUAUAUUUUGUCACGAAAUCGCCAAAGGGGGAGAUUGUUAAGGAUUUUAUAGGUUGGCGAAUUUCGUAAAGUUGUUUGGAGUCUUGAAGAGUUGAUCGCAGAAGUUUUUGAGAAGAGAUUCAAAUUGGAGGACGAAGACUCAUUCGGAAAGCUCGACACCUAAGGUAUGAAGAAAAGAUCAUUUGUGGUGAAGAUAUAUAAUUAGAAUAAGUUCAGAAGGCUUAGAUUGCUUUAAAAUAAUUUUUCUGAACUUUCAUGUGUUCUGGGACCGGUCUCUGAGAUUGAGAGACCGGUUCCCCUAAGGUCCUCACUGCGUAAACUGUGAUGCAACCGGUCCCCUGUGAUGAGAGACCGGUUCCCGAACCAUGGUGCUUCUGUCGCGCAGCGAGGGACCGGUCUCAAGUUUGAGAGACCGGUUCCCGAACGUUGGGUUUUUGGUCACGCAGAGAGGGACCGGUUCCUCACUUGAGAGACCGGUCUCUCACAGACCGGUCUCCUCGAGAGGACCGGUCUCUGAGGACGACACAGGUUUUUAAAAACGACUUUUUGCAAUCCUAGUCUACUUCUAAGUCUUCUAAACAUAUAAAUAAGCUAUGUGGGUCAUCUAAAAUUAAGGCUUUGAAUAUUUUACCAAUUCUAAACCCUAGAAACUUAAUUCUCUCCGUUUCGAUGCUUAGAUGAGUUUCUAGCAAUCGACAUCGGCUUGAUUCUUCGUUGUUACUCAAUAAUUCUUACGAGAAUCAAGUAGAUGUUUGAUAAAAGGUGAACUCCCAUAGCUUAUGGUUUUCAAAAGUUAAAUCACCACAAAUCUUCGAUUCUACAAGCUCCGGAAGGAGGUUCGGCACGUGGAUCUCGUGUGAAGCCGAGGAUUCGGUGGACGUUUCGAGGAGUUGAGGCGUUAACGCUGCGAGGAGUUGCAGCAAGGUCGAUUGGUGGAUUCCUAUCGAUCGAGGACCGGCAAAGAUCACCAUCAACGAGAAAUCGGUAAAUUGAGUCGUGUGUUUUUGUCGAAAUCACUUGUACUCAAGUUUUCUUAGUGGAUUUUCUUUACGUGAUCGGUCCCGUGAGUUUUUCACUCCGAAUUGGAGUUUUCCCACGUUAAAUUCUCGGUGUGCUGUUUUAAUUUCCGCUAUUUUGUUUUGUUUGCAUCGAGAUUUUUCGAGUUUGCCGGAUUUACACCUAUUCACCCCCCUCUAGGUGUUACUUACCUUUUAGAUCCUCGGGAUCCAUAUCUAACAUUCCUCAUAUUUCUCAUCACAUCGGGAAACACACUCCGAUCCGAUCACCGGCAUUGCCUAGAAGCAAUAUUGUCGGUGCAUCGACCAAUCGCACGCGCUCCGAUCUCAAUCGAAUCUCUGGUCUAUCACGAGAUGGCACACCCCUGCACAUCUCCAACCUCAAUCCCUUUGAGAGCUCCAAUCCUCACGUGGCUAUCCAUUAUGCUAGUGUCUCCUAGAGACCACUUUACUUUCUCUUUAUCCUUUGACACUAUAAGCCACGUUCAACACCACACGAACCCUCCGUUCGUGAAUCCAAGCCCAACUCACUAACAGAGUUGCUCGCCGCACCGAUCAUCGGUUUUCACAAGUGGACCAAGGGCCACCAAUCCUACGUAGGCCAGCCGCCUAACUCGUCUCAACGACGCCUAGCGUCUCUCGCUCGCAAGCGUAGACCCAAUCAUCAUUUUCGGACGAAAUUCUCACUUGAAAAUUCGCACACACUCCAACCAGGAGCAACCACGACCCUGAACCACAUCGAGUCCUCGGGUUGGGUCGCUACACCCUCGGUGUACUAUCAAUCUCAUGAUCCAACACAUGGCCUUCCACGUACCUGGGUCUAAGCUUGGACUACCGUCCUGACCAACACUCUGCCCUACCUAUAGGUAUCGGGAAUUUCGCGAUUUCGCGAUUUCGCACUUCUCGAGCAAUAAUCAACGCCGGAAACUCCUCGUAACUCAUAUUCUCGUGCAAUCCCGGCGGUGUAUAUGACAAUAUAUGCUCGGGAUUGUGGAUAUAUUUGCGGAGGUUGGAGACAUGGAAGACAUUGUGAACAUUGGCGAGCUUCGGCGGCAACGCGAGCCGAUAAGCCACCGCACCAAUCCGCUCCAACACCUCGUACGGCCCAACAUAUCGGGGACUCAACUUUUCCCGCACUCCGAACCGCUUCACGCC
RNAcentral lists this long non-coding RNA (11345 nucleotides) under Ananas comosus (pineapple). RNAcentral's name for it is "long non-coding RNA (ACOM_LNC026796)". The record is from RNAcentral. Lineage: Eukaryota; Viridiplantae; Streptophyta; Magnoliopsida; Poales; Bromeliaceae.